CAGAAGAAGAAGAGCAGCUGUCACCGCCAAAAUGCUUUGUAUUUUGUCACCGCCAAAAUGUAUUUUAUUUCAUUAUAUAUUUUUUACUUGGUGGGUGACAGAGGAAGAAGAUCUUCAGCUGCAAGCUAGCGUUUUCAUCGAGCUUGUUAACACAGCUAGCUACCUAGCUACCUAACUAGCUCCUUCUUUAGCUUGCCUCCAACGUGAAAAUUAAAUGGAUCCUUCUGGUCUGGAGCCUCAGCUGCCUAUGGACAGACCCCAGCCAAUGGUAACUGUCAACUUGCGAGUCUGGAUACUGGAGGUGAAGGAAUCUGCAUUAUGUGAACUUCCAGUGCCACAAUUCAACAAAGCACUCUUUUAGUUGUUAGUCAUGAGUCAUUCAUUCAAACUUUUCAAAGUAUACCACAGCAUGCUAUUGUGAUUUAGUGCUGAACUUUGUAGUUUUAUGCAAUGAAUUUCAUUGUAGCCUAGCUACAGUACUGUAUGUAAGGUAAAAAGGUACAUUUUCCAUUCAU
Coregonus clupeaformis (lake whitefish) is the source of this 515-nucleotide long non-coding RNA. RefSeq lists it as uncharacterized. The record is from RefSeq and is a predicted model, not a curated record. The transcript is spliced from 4 exons. Lineage: Eukaryota; Metazoa; Chordata; Actinopteri; Salmoniformes; Salmonidae.